GAUGAACGCUAGCGGGAGGCUUAACACAUGCAAGUCGAGGGGCAUCACGAGGUAGCAAUACUUUGGUGGCGACCGGCGCACGGGUGAGUAACACGUAUGCAACCUACCCUGUACAGGGGGAUAACCCGGAGAAAUUCGGACUAAUAUCCCAUACAAUUAUUGGAGGGCAUCCUUUGAUAAUUAAAGCUCAGGCGGUAUAGGAUGGGCAUGCGGAACAUUAGCUAGUUGGUAGGGUAACGCCUACAAGGCUACGAUGUUUAGGGACCUGAGAGGGUUAUCCCCCACACUGGUACUGAGACACGGACCAGACUCCUACGGGAGGCAGCAGUGAGGAAUAUUGGUCAAUGGGCGCAAGCCUGAACCAGCCAUCCCGCGUGAAGGAAGAAGGCCCUAUGGGUUGUAAACUUCUUUUCCAGGGGGUGAAUAAUUCCGAUGUAUCGGGAGAUGACGGUACCCUGGGAAUAAGCAUCGGCUAACUCCGUGCCAGCAGCCGCGGUAAGACGUAGCGUG
This 510-nucleotide ribosomal RNA is filed under the name uncultured bacterium. RNAcentral's name for it is "bacterial SSU rRNA". It matches the Rfam family "Bacterial small subunit ribosomal RNA", at positions 28 to 534 of the family's 1533-position model. The record is from RNAcentral.